This 191-nucleotide ribosomal RNA is filed under the name Haemophilus influenzae. Its description in RNAcentral is "partial 23S ribosomal RNA". It matches the Rfam family "Bacterial large subunit ribosomal RNA", at positions 2743 to 2925 of the family's 2925-position model. Lineage: Bacteria; Pseudomonadati; Pseudomonadota; Gammaproteobacteria; Pasteurellales; Pasteurellaceae. The record is from RNAcentral.
GGGUAGCUAAGUGCGGAAGAGAUAAGUGCUGAAAGCAUCUAAGCACGAAACUUGCCAAGAGAUGAGUUCUCCCAAUCUAAGAGAUAGUAAGGGUUGUUGUAGACUACGACGUAGAUAGGUCUGGUGUGUAAGUGUAGUGAUACAUUGAGCUAACAGAUACUAAUUGCCCGAGAGGCUUAACUAUACAACGC